Molecule: non-coding RNA, 73 nt
Organism: Potamilus streckersoni
Lineage: Eukaryota; Metazoa; Mollusca; Bivalvia; Unionida; Unionidae
Source: the annotation of a GenBank genome assembly
GCUCCGGUGGCCUAGUGGAUAGACCGUCCGCCUCGGAUGCGGUAAGUCAUGGGUUUGAUCUCCGUUCGAGUCA